Molecule: ribosomal RNA, 352 nt
Filed under: uncultured archaeon
Lineage: Archaea
Description: bacterial SSU rRNA
Rfam family: Archaeal small subunit ribosomal RNA
Source: RNAcentral
AGGGUUCGGCCCUCGGCAGACGGCUCAGUAACACGUGGAUAAUCUGUCCUUAGGUGGAGGAUAAUCUCGGGAAACUGAGAAUAAUACUCCAUAGAUUUAGAAUGUUGGAAUGCAUCUAAGUUGAAAGCUUCGGCGCCUAACGGUGAGUCUGCGGACUAUCAGGCUGUAGUCAGGGUAAUGACCUGACUAACCUACGACGGAUACGGGUUGUGAGAGCAAUAACCCGGAGACGAUAUCUGAGACACGAUAUCGGGCCCUACGGGGCGCAGCAGGCGCGAAACCUUCACACUGUGCGAAAGCGCGAUGAGGGAAUCCCAAGUGCUUGCUCGUAAGAGUAAGCUGUUUUUGUGUA